AGAGCUUAUGUCGAUUUCAUCUUAUUGCACAAUUUCAGGUCGACUGGCUCCAAUAGGCGUGAGCACCAGGUGUCAAUCCCGAAGUGGUCUCCGCCGCCGGCUGAGUCGGUCAAGGUCAAUGUUGAUGCUGCGAUUUUUGCCCAGACUAAACGCAUGGGCAUUGGUGUUGUGAUCCGAAAUCAUCUAGGUCUGGUGCUGGCAGCAAGCAGAGGGUUUAUUCAUCAUGUUGAUAAUCCGGAGCUGGGUGAAGCUAUUGCAAUGCGCCAUGCGUUGUUUUUUGCUGAAGAUUCCAGUUUCCAGAAAAUCCUUGUGGAGACAGAUUGUGCCAGUUUGAUCAACAAAAUUAAGAGUAAAGUGGAUGACAGGUCUCACACAGGUGCUGUAGUUUUUGAUAUUAAGAGUAGGGCUCCAAGGUUCUUAUCCUGUUGUUUUACUCAUGUUAGUCGAAGUUGUAAUGAGGCAGCACAUGUUCUAGCAAAGUCUGCUGAACAUGAUGAAGGGUCAUGCUGGUUUAAUGUAUCUCCUGAAGUUAUCAGGAAUAUAGUUUGUACUGAACAGUUCUGA
RNAcentral lists this ribosomal RNA (564 nucleotides) under Triticum aestivum (bread wheat). Its description in RNAcentral is "partial small subunit ribosomal RNA". Lineage: Eukaryota; Viridiplantae; Streptophyta; Magnoliopsida; Poales; Poaceae. The record is from RNAcentral.